Molecule: ribosomal RNA, 529 nt
Filed under: uncultured bacterium
Lineage: Bacteria
Description: bacterial SSU rRNA
Rfam family: Bacterial small subunit ribosomal RNA
Source: RNAcentral
AAUAGAUACCCGGGUAGUCCACGCCGUAAACGAUGAGUGCUAGGUGUUGGUGGAGACAUCCAUCAGUGCCGCAGCUAACGCAUUAAGCACUCCGCCUGGGGAGUACGGUCGCAAGACUGAAACUCAAAGGAAUUGACGGGGACCCGCACAAGCAGCGGAGCAUGUGGUUUAAUUCGACGCAACGCGAAGAACCUUACCAAGGCUUGACAUCCCCUUGACAGGUCUAGAGAUAGGCCCUCUUCUUCGGGAGCAAGGGAGACAGGUGGUGCAUGGUUGUCGUCAGCUCGUGUCGUGAGAUGUUGGGUUAAGUCCCGCAACGAGCGCAACCCUUGCCUUUAGCUGCCAUCAGGUAAAGCUGGGCACUCUAGAGGGACUGCCGGUGACAAACCGGAGGAAGGUGGGGAUGACGUCAAAUCAUUAUGCCCCUUAUGUCUUGGGCUACACACGUGCUACAAUGGUCGGUACAACGGGAAGCGAGACUGUGAAGUUGAGCAAAACCCAAUAAGCCGAUCCCAGUUCGGAUUGUAGG